AUACCAAGUGUCAAAAGGUCUAAAAUCCAACGCAAGCUUGCUUGCAGGAGGAUUUUGGAACUUGGGGCACGUAAAACAUGAGUAAGUAGCCAUUUUUCAAAGAAAAAUGAGCGGAUUACGAAUGUUUUAAAGAUUGCGAGAGUGCAAAGCACGUAGCAAUCUGGU
This 165-nucleotide small RNA is filed under the name uncultured Enterocloster sp. RNAcentral describes it as "Clostridiales-1 RNA". It matches the Rfam family "Clostridiales-1 RNA". The record is from RNAcentral. Lineage: Bacteria; Bacillati; Bacillota; Clostridia; Lachnospirales; Lachnospiraceae.